AGGACGAACGCUGGCGGCGUGCUUAACACAUGCAAGUCGUGGGGGGGUAGCAAUACCUCACCGGCGAACGGGUGCGUAACACGUGAGCAACAUUCCGAUUUCUGGGGGAUAGCCGGCCCAACGGCCGGGUAAUACCGCAUACGCUCAUUGAGAGGAGUCUCUCGAUGAGGAAACCUCCGGGGGAAAUCGAGUGGCUCGCGGCCUAUCAGCUAGUUGGCGGGGUAAUGGCCCACCAAGGCAAUGACGGGUAGC
This 252-nucleotide ribosomal RNA is filed under the name uncultured soil bacterium. RNAcentral's name for it is "partial 16S ribosomal RNA". It matches the Rfam family "Bacterial small subunit ribosomal RNA", at positions 26 to 287 of the family's 1533-position model. The record is from RNAcentral.